AACAUCUUCGGAGUUAGUGGCGGACGGGUGAGUAACACGUGGGAACGUGCCUUUAGGUUCGGAAUAACUCAGGGAAACUUGUGCUAAUACCGAAUGUGCCCUUCGGGGGAAAGAUUUAUCGCCUUUAGAGCGGCCCGCGUCUGAUUAGCUAGUUGGUGAGGUAAAGGCUCACCAAGGCGACGAUCAGUAGCUGGUCUGAGAGGAUGAUCAGCCACAUUGGGACUGAGACACGGCCCAAACUACUACGGGAGGCAGCAGUGGGGAAUCUUGCGCAAUGGGCGAAAGCCUGACGCAGCCAUGCCGCGUGAAUGAUGAAGGUCUUAGGAUUGUAAAAUUCUUUCACCGGGGACGAUAAUGACGGUACCCGGAGAAGAAGCCCCGGCUAACUUCGUGCCAGCAGCCGCGGUAAUACGAAGGGGGCUAGCGUUGCUCGGAAUUACUGGGCGUAAAGGGAGCGUAGGCGGACAUUUAAGUCAGGGGUGAAAUCCCGGGGCUCAACCUCGGAAUUGCCUUUGAUACUGGGUGUCUUGAGUAUGAGAGAGGUGUGUGGAACUCCGAGUGUAGAGGUGAAAUUCGUAGAUAUUCGGAAGAACACCAGUGGCGAAGGCGACACACUGGCUCAUUACUGACGCUGAGGCUCGAAAGCGUGGGGAGCAAACAGGAUUAGAUACCCUGGUAGUCCACGCCGUAAACGAUGAUUGCUAGUUGUCGGGAUGCAUGCAUUUCGGUGACGCAGCUAACGCAUUAAGCAAUCCGCCUGG
RNAcentral lists this ribosomal RNA (761 nucleotides) under Brevundimonas nasdae. RNAcentral's name for it is "bacterial SSU rRNA". It matches the Rfam family "Bacterial small subunit ribosomal RNA", at positions 79 to 876 of the family's 1533-position model. The record is from RNAcentral. Lineage: Bacteria; Pseudomonadati; Pseudomonadota; Alphaproteobacteria; Caulobacterales; Caulobacteraceae.